UAGACUAACAGAAGUUAGUCUAUAAGGUGCCACAAGACUCUUUGUCGCUUGAAACUUUAUGGUAACUGGUGACCAGUUUCCCCCCCCAGUUCAGUUCAGAUUCAGGGUUGCUGAGUAAGAGAAAAAUUAUGGAUCAAGUCUGGCUCCAACUCCGUUAAAAAGACCAGUUCAAACUGGUUCUGGUUCGGUUCUGGUGUGAGUCCAGGCGGGCAAAUGAAAUCUGCGGCUUCUGAACUGACCCUGAGGGGAAAACUGGUCACCAGUUACCAUAAAGUUUCAAGCGAAACUGUUUCUCUCUGCCCCUAGAGUUAGUUGUUUUUUCUGGGUCAGACGCUGCUGCCUCCGACGUCGUGAUCUGGGAGCCCAGCCGGAGCAGCUGCUGCUCCCCCAGCCGGGUCUGUGCUGGGGGGAGACCUUCAUUAACGCCCCCUCUGUGCCCAGCCCAGGUGGGGACUUUCCCCCAUGGCUGGAACUAGCCCCGGGCUCUGCCCGCACCAGCCCUGAGCCGGAGCCUCCAGGCGAUGCGGAGAGAACUGCGGGAAAGUGCUGGGGACGGGCAGGAAAGUGACUUUUCAGGGACCAGCGGGCUGAAGAAUCACGUCCACAUUUCGCUCCAGAUCGUCCCAUCUUCCAGGAGACAGGGAAGAGACAUGGCUGUGGUGUAGCUCAGAUACCGGUGACCUUCGAGGAGGUGGCUGUUGUAUUUCACUG
Molecule: long non-coding RNA, 711 nt
Organism: Terrapene triunguis (Three-toed box turtle)
Lineage: Eukaryota; Metazoa; Chordata; Testudines; Emydidae
Exons: 3
Source: RefSeq, a predicted model, not a curated record